GACGAACGCUGGCGGCGUGCUUAACACAUGCAAGUCGAACGGAAAGGCCCUGCUUUUGUGGGGUGCUCGAGUGGCGAACGGGUGUGUAACACGUGUGUAACCUGCCCUUGACUUUGGGAUAACUUCAGGAAACUGGGGCUAAUACCGGAUAGGAGCUCCUGCUGCAUGGUGGGGGUUGGAAAGUUUCGGCGGUUGGGGAUGGACUCGCGGCUUAUCAGCUUGUUGGUGGGGUAGUGGCUUACAAAGGCUUUGACGGGUAGCCGGCCUGAGAGGGUGACCGGCCACAUUGGGACGGAGAUACGGCCCAGACUCCUACGGGAGGAAGAGGUGGGGAAUAUUGCACAAUGGGCGGAAGCCUGAUGCAGCAACGCCGCGUGCGGGAUGACGGCCUUCGGGUUGUAAACCGCUUUCGCCUGGGACGAAGCGUGAGUGACGGUAAUGGGUAAAGAAGCACCGGCUAACUACGUG
Molecule: ribosomal RNA, 468 nt
Filed under: uncultured bacterium
Lineage: Bacteria
Description: partial 16S ribosomal RNA
Rfam family: Bacterial small subunit ribosomal RNA
Source: RNAcentral